RNAcentral lists this non-coding RNA (31 nucleotides) under Rattus norvegicus (Norway rat). Lineage: Eukaryota; Metazoa; Chordata; Mammalia; Rodentia; Muridae. The record is from RNAcentral.
UGGAAGGACCAGUUCAAGCCUACCUCCUCCA